This is a non-coding RNA of Psammomys obesus (fat sand rat), 492 nucleotides long. NCBI's taxonomy places the organism in Eukaryota, Metazoa, Chordata, Mammalia, Rodentia, Muridae. The record is from the annotation of a RefSeq genome assembly.
AUGGCCACCAGGCUCAUUUUCUGCAUGGUCCUUUGUUUCUUGAGAGCAGAACCAACAAAUGCUGGAGUCACUCAAACACCCAGGCACAAGGUAACAGUGAAGGGACAAGAAGUAACUCUGAGCUGUGAGCCAAUUUCAGGACACAGUAGUAUUUCCUGGUACAGACAGACCACUGUGCAGGGCCUGGAGUUCCUGAUUAACUUUCGCAACCAGGCUCCUAUAGAUGAUACAGGGAUGCCCAAAGAACGAUUCUCAGUUCAGAUGCCCAGCAAGAAUCUCUCCACCGUGAAGAUCCAGCCCACACAACCCCAGGACUCAGCUGUGUAUCUGUGUGCCAGCAGCUUAGCCACAGAGCCUCAGAAUCAUAUCCUGCCAGGGCAGAAACCACAUGCUCCCUGUUCUCUUUCCAUCUCUCAGAAUCAGUUCUCAACAGUGAUCCUGAGGUCUUCUCACAACAGGAAGGAUGUGGGUCUAGUAUCUUCUCUGCCCUGA